GCUUUUAUAGUUUAAUAAAACUUUAGUCUUGUAAACUAAUAAUGGCUAUCCCCUAAAAGCU
Molecule: transfer RNA, 61 nt
Filed under: Onisimus nanseni
Lineage: Eukaryota; Metazoa; Arthropoda; Malacostraca; Amphipoda; Lysianassidae
Description: tRNA-Thr
Rfam family: tRNA
About the family: Transfer RNA (tRNA) molecules are approximately 80 nucleotides in length.
Source: RNAcentral